GCCUUUAUAGCUCAGUGGUAGAGCGCGACACUAGUAUACAACAGCCCCCCUUCCCUUUCCCACCCCUGGAGAAAUGAUUGGAUCAGACGAGCUGCUGUAGGCUAGCAAUGUCGAGGCCGUCGGUUCGACUCCGACUGGAGGCA
Non-coding RNA from Phyllosticta citribraziliensis, 143 nucleotides. NCBI's taxonomy places the organism in Eukaryota, Fungi, Ascomycota, Dothideomycetes, Botryosphaeriales, Phyllostictaceae. The record is from the annotation of a GenBank genome assembly.